CUUUCUCUAAAUGCAAGGUCUAUUGUUUUGGAAAAAAAAAUGUUUAUCUCAUCUAAUGUUAAUAUACAAACCUCUAAUUAAUCUAAUAAUCCAACAUCUCAUGUCUUUAAAUCAAAGGGAGUUUCUCUUUUUCUUGCAGCACUAUUUACAGAUUUUCCUUCAUUUUUUUUUUAGAUUUCCACAAGAUUGGACAAACAACAUCAAUGGUAGCAUAUAAUAUCUAGGAAUCAAAAUAUCAAUCAUUGAUUGAUAAAAAAUGAAUAAAAAUGACUGAUAGAGGUUUCCCCUUUUUCUGGAAUGCUCUUAAACAAACAGUUUAGCAGAAAUAAUCAUAGGAUAAUUGCAUUAUUCAAAUAUUCACCCAAAAAUAAAUAAAUCA
This 379-nucleotide long non-coding RNA is filed under the name Solanum tuberosum (potato). RNAcentral describes it as "long non-coding RNA (STUB_LNC004577)". The record is from RNAcentral. Lineage: Eukaryota; Viridiplantae; Streptophyta; Magnoliopsida; Solanales; Solanaceae.